This 921-nucleotide ribosomal RNA is filed under the name uncultured Methanomethylovorans sp. RNAcentral describes it as "bacterial SSU rRNA". It matches the Rfam family "Archaeal small subunit ribosomal RNA", at positions 1 to 922 of the family's 1478-position model. The record is from RNAcentral. Lineage: Archaea; Methanobacteriati; Methanobacteriota; Methanomicrobia; Methanosarcinales; Methanosarcinaceae.
UUCCGGUUGAUCCUGCCGGAGGUUACUGCUAUCGGGGUUCGAUUAAGCCAUGCAAGUUAAAUGUUUUUCGUAAACAUAGCGAACUGCUCAGUAACACGUGGAUAACUUAACCUUAGGUUCGGCAUAACCCCGGGAAACUGGGGAUAAUUCCGGAUAUAUCAAGGAUGCUGGAAUGCUCUUUGGUUCAAAGCUUUUGUGCCUAAGGAUAGGUCUGCGGUCUAUCAGGUUGUAGUGGGUGUAACGUACCUACUAGCCGACGACGGAUACGGGUUGUGAGAGCAAGAGCCCGGAGAUGGAUUCUGAGACAAGAAUCCAGGCCCUACGGGGUGCAGCAGGCGCGAACACUUUACAAUGCGGGAAACCGCGAUAAGGGAACCCCGAGUGCCAGUACUAAGUGCUGGCUGUCUAGAUGAAUAGAUAUCAUUUAAUAGCAAGGGCCGGGCAAGACCGGUGCCAGCCGCCGCGGUAACACCGGCGGCCCGAGUGGUAACCGAUAUUAUUGGGUCUAAAGGGUCCGUAGCCUGUUUAAUAAGUCCUUUGGGAAAUCUGGCAGCUUAACUGUCAGGCUGCUAAAGGAUACUGUUAAACUUGGGACCGGUAGACGUAGGGGGUACUCCAGGGGUAGGAGUGAAAUCUUGUAAUCCCUGGGGGACCAUCUGUGGCGAAGGCGCCCUACGAGAACGGGUCCGACGGUGAGGGACGAAAGCUAGGGGAGCAAACCGGAUUAGAUACCCGGGUAGUCCUAGCUGUAAACGAUGCUCGCUAGGUGUCAGGCACGGUGCGUCCGUGUCUGGUGCCGCAGGGAAGCCGUUAAGCGAGCCACCUGGGGAGUACGGUCGCAAGGCUGAAACUUAAAGGAAUUGGCCGGGGGAGCACUACAACGGGUGGAGCCUGCGCGUUUAAAUUGGAUUCAACGCCGGA